This 294-nucleotide ribosomal RNA is filed under the name uncultured bacterium. RNAcentral describes it as "partial 16S ribosomal RNA". It matches the Rfam family "Bacterial small subunit ribosomal RNA", at positions 775 to 1067 of the family's 1533-position model. The record is from RNAcentral.
GGAUUAGAUACCCUGGUAGUCCACGCCGUAAACGAUGUAUACUAGUUGUCGGGUCUUGAUACUCGGUGACGCAGCUAACGCAUUAAGUAUACCGCCUGGGGAGUACGGUCGCAAGAUUAAAACUCAAAGAAAUUGACGGGGACCCGCACAAGCGGUGGAGCAUGUGGUUUAAUUCGAAGCAACGCGAAGAACCUUACCCACCUUUGACAUACUAGUUUGGGAUAGUGGAGACACUUUCUUUCAGUUCGGCUGGGCUAGAUACAGGUGCUGCAUGGCUGUCGUCAGCUCGUGCCG